Molecule: ribosomal RNA, 520 nt
Filed under: Bifidobacterium adolescentis
Lineage: Bacteria; Bacillati; Actinomycetota; Actinomycetes; Bifidobacteriales; Bifidobacteriaceae
Description: partial 16S ribosomal RNA
Rfam family: Bacterial small subunit ribosomal RNA
Source: RNAcentral
CGGGUGGUAAUGCCGGAUGCUCCAGUUGACCGCAUGGUCCUCUGGGAAAGCUUUUGCGGUAUGGGAUGGGGUCGCGUCCUAUCAGCUUGAUGGCGGGGUAACGGCCCACCAUGGCUUCGACGGGUAGCCGGCCUGAGAGGGCGACCGGCCACAUUGGGACUGAGAUACGGCCCAGACUCCUACGGGAGGCAGCAGUGGGGAAUAUUGCACAAUGGGCGCAAGCCUGAUGCAGCGACGCCGCGUGCGGGAUGACGGCCUUCGGGUUGUAAACCGCUUUUGACUGGGAGCAAGCCCUUCGGGGUGAGUGUACCUUUCGAAUAAGCACCGGCUAACUACGUGCCAGCAGCCGCGGUAAUACGUAGGGUGCAAGCGUUAUCCGGAAUUAUUGGGCGUAAAGGGCUCGUAGGCGGUUCGUCGCGUCCGGUGUGAAAGUCCAUCGCUUAACGGUGGAUCCGCGCCGGGUACGGGCGGGCUUGAGUGCGGUAGGGGAGACUGGAAUUCCCGGUGUAACGGUGGAAUG